RNAcentral lists this ribosomal RNA (460 nucleotides) under uncultured bacterium. RNAcentral's name for it is "bacterial SSU rRNA". It matches the Rfam family "Bacterial small subunit ribosomal RNA", at positions 30 to 507 of the family's 1533-position model. The record is from RNAcentral.
AUUGAACGCUGGCGGCAUGCCUUACACAUGCAAGUCGAACGGUAACGGGCCUUCGGGUGCCGACGAGUGGCGAACGGGUGAGUAAUGUAUCGGAACGUACCUUUCAGUGGGGGAUAACGUAGCGAAAGUUACGCUAAUACCGCAUAUUCUGUGAGCAGGAAAGCAGGGGAUCGCAAGACCUUGCGCUGAUUGAGCGGCCGAUAUCAGAUUAGCUAGUUGGUGAGGUAAAGGCUCACCAAGGCGACGAUCUGUAGCGGGUCUGAGAGGAUGAUCCGCCACACUGGAACUGAGACACGGUCCAGACUCCUACGGGAGGCAGCAGUGGGGAAUCUUAGGCAAUGGACGAAAGUCUGACCUAGCGACGCCGCGUGAGGGAAGAAGGCCUUCGGGUUGUAAACCUCUGUCAUGGGGGAAGAAGUAAGUGACGGUACCCCAAGAGGAAGCCCCUGCUAACUACGUG